AUGCACGCUGGCGGCGUGCCUAAUACAUGCAAGUCGCGCGAACGGACGAGAAGCUUGCUUUUCUGAUGUUAGCGGCGGACGGGUGAGUAACACGUGGAUAACCUACCUAUAAGACUGGGAUAACUUCGGGAAACCGGAGCUAAUAUCGGAUAAUAUUUUGAACCGCAUGGUUCAAAAGUGAAAGACGGUCUUGCUGUCACUUAUAGGUGGAUCCGCGCUGCAUUAGCUAGUUGGUAAGGUAACGGCUUACCAAGGCAACGAUGCAUAGCCGACCUGAGAGGGUGAUCGGCCACACUGGAACUGAGACACGGUCCAGACUCCUACGGGAGGCAGCAGUAGGGAAUCUUCCGCAAUGGGCGAAAGCCUGACGGAGCAACGCCGCGUGAGUGAUGAAGGUCUUCGGAUCGUAAAACUCUGUUAUUAGGGAAGAACAUAUGUGUAAGUAACUGUGCACAUCUUGACGGUACCUAAUCAGAAAGCCACGGCUAACUACGUG
RNAcentral lists this ribosomal RNA (496 nucleotides) under uncultured bacterium. RNAcentral describes it as "partial 16S ribosomal RNA". It matches the Rfam family "Bacterial small subunit ribosomal RNA", at positions 29 to 507 of the family's 1533-position model. The record is from RNAcentral.